Molecule: ribosomal RNA, 468 nt
Filed under: uncultured bacterium
Lineage: Bacteria
Description: partial 16S ribosomal RNA
Rfam family: Bacterial small subunit ribosomal RNA
Source: RNAcentral
GACGAACGCUGGCGGCGUGCUUAACACAUGCAAGUCGAACGGAAAGGCCCUGCUUUUGUGGGGUGCUCGAUUGGCGAACGGGUGAGUAACACGUGAGUAACCUGCCCUUGUCUUUGGGAUAACUUCAGGAAACUCGGGCUCAUACCCGAUAGGAGCUCCUGCUGCAUAGUGGGGGUUGGAAAGUUUCGGCGGUUGUGGAUGGACUCGCGGCUUAUCAGCUUGUUGGUGGGGUAGUGGCUGACCAAGGCUUUGACGGGUAGCCGGCCUGAGAGGGUGACCGGCCACAUUGGGACUGAGAUACGGCCCAGAAUCCUACGGGAGGCAGCAGUGGAGAAUAUUGCACAAUGGGCGGAAGCCUGAUGCAGCAACGCUGCGUGCGGGAUGACGGCCUUCGGGUUGUAAACAGCUUUGGCAUGAGACGAAGCGGGAGUGACGGUAAUGGGUAAAGAAGCACCGGCUAACUACGUG